This 459-nucleotide ribosomal RNA is filed under the name uncultured bacterium. RNAcentral describes it as "partial 16S ribosomal RNA". It matches the Rfam family "Bacterial small subunit ribosomal RNA", at positions 339 to 795 of the family's 1533-position model. The record is from RNAcentral.
CUACGGGAUGCUCCAGUGAGGAAUAUUGGUCAAUGGGCGAAAGCCUGAACCAGCCAUGCCGCGUGAAGGAUGACGGCCCUAUGGGUUGUAAACUUCUUUUAUACGGGAAGAAACACCUCUACGUGUAGAGGUUUGACGGUACCGUACGAAUAAGCAUCGGCUAACUCCGUGCCAGCAGCCGCGGUAAUACGGAGGAUGCAAGCGUUAUCCGGAUUUAUUGGGUUUAAAGGGUACGUAGGCGGAAACUUAAGUCAGUAGUGAAAUCCCGCAGCUUAACUGUGGAACUGUUAUUGAUACUGGGUUUCUUGAAUAUUGUUGAGGUAGGCGGAAUAAGUAAUGUAGCUGUGAAAUGCUUAGAUAUUACUUAGAACACCGAUUGCGAAGGCAGCUUACUAAGCAAUUAUUGACGCUGAGGUACGAAAGCGUGGGGAGCGAACAGGAUUAGAUACCCUGGUAGUC